Molecule: non-coding RNA, 73 nt
Organism: Ictidomys tridecemlineatus (thirteen-lined ground squirrel)
Lineage: Eukaryota; Metazoa; Chordata; Mammalia; Rodentia; Sciuridae
Source: Rfam
GGGGAUAUAGCUCAGUUGGUAGAGUGCUUGCUUUGCAUACACAAGGCCCUAGGUUCAAUCCCCAGCACCCCCC